GCCCUCGGUGGCUCAGAUGGAUAGAGUGUCUGUCCUGUAAGCAGAAGAUCCCGGGUUCAAGUCCUGGUUGGGGCA
This is a non-coding RNA of Schistocerca cancellata (South American locust), 75 nucleotides long. Lineage: Eukaryota; Metazoa; Arthropoda; Insecta; Orthoptera; Acrididae. The record is from the annotation of a RefSeq genome assembly.